UACGUAGGUGGCGAGCGUUGUCCGGAAUUAUUGGGCGUAAAGAGCGCGUAGGCGGGAUAGUAAGUCUGUUGUUAAAUUGCGGGGCUCAACUCCGUAUUGCAAUGGAAACUGUUAUUCUUGAGUGCAGGAGAGGAAAGUGGAAUUCCAAGUGUAGCGGUGAAAUGCGUAGAUAUUUGGAGGAACACCAGUGGCGAAGGCGACUUUCUGGACUGUGUCUGACGCUGAGGCGCGAAAGCUAGGGGAGCGAACGGGAUUAGAAACCCGGGUAGU
RNAcentral lists this ribosomal RNA (270 nucleotides) under uncultured bacterium. Its description in RNAcentral is "partial 16S ribosomal RNA". It matches the Rfam family "Bacterial small subunit ribosomal RNA", at positions 524 to 794 of the family's 1533-position model. The record is from RNAcentral.